RNAcentral lists this transfer RNA (65 nucleotides) under Herdmania momus (red throated ascidian). RNAcentral describes it as "transfer RNA-His (GUG)". The record is from RNAcentral. Lineage: Eukaryota; Metazoa; Chordata; Ascidiacea; Stolidobranchia; Pyuridae.
UAUAAAAUAGUUUAAAUUAUAAAAUGUGGGCUUGUGGUGCCUAGGAUGUGUGUUUACUUUUAUAA